RNAcentral lists this ribosomal RNA (319 nucleotides) under uncultured Thauera sp. Its description in RNAcentral is "bacterial SSU rRNA". It matches the Rfam family "Bacterial small subunit ribosomal RNA", at positions 1064 to 1382 of the family's 1533-position model. The record is from RNAcentral. Lineage: Bacteria; Pseudomonadati; Pseudomonadota; Betaproteobacteria; Rhodocyclales; Zoogloeaceae.
GUCGUGAGAUGUUGGGUUAAGUCCCGCAACGAGCGCAACCCUUGUCAUUAGUUGCCAUCAUUUAGUUGGGCACUCUAAUGAGACUGCCGGUGACAAACCGGAGGAAGGUGGGGGAUGACGUCAAGUCCUCAUGGCCCUUAUGGGUAGGGGCUUCACACGUCAUACAAUGGUCGGUACAGAGGGUUGCCAAGCCGCGAGGUGGAGCCAAUCCCUUAAAGCCGAUCGUAGUCCGGAUCGUAGUCUGCAACUCGACUACGUGAAGUCGGAAUCGCUAGUAAUCGCAGAUCAGCAUGCUGCGGUGAAUACGUUCCCGGGUCUU